RNAcentral lists this ribosomal RNA (433 nucleotides) under uncultured bacterium. Its description in RNAcentral is "partial 16S ribosomal RNA". It matches the Rfam family "Bacterial small subunit ribosomal RNA", at positions 29 to 507 of the family's 1533-position model. The record is from RNAcentral.
AGCGAACGCUGGCGGCAGGCCUAACACAUGCAAGUCGAACGAACUCUUCGGAGUUAGUGGCGGACGGGUGAGUAACACGUGGGAACGUGCCUUUAGGUUCGGAAUAACUCAGGGAAACUUGUGCUAAUACCGAAUGUGCCCUUCGGGGGAAAGAUUUAUCGCCUUUAGAGCGGCCCGCGUCUGAUUAGCUAGUUGGUGAGGUAAAGGCUCGCCAAGGCGACGAUCAGUAGCUGGUCUGAGAGGAUGAUCAGCCACAUUGGGACUGAGACACGGCCCAAACUCCUACGGGAGGCAGCAGUGGGGAAUCUUGCGCAAUGGGCGAAAGCCUGACGCAGCCAUGCCGCGUGAAUGAUGAAGGUCUUAGGAUUGUAAAAUUCUUUCACCGGGGACGAUAAUGACGGUACCCGGAGAAGAAGCCCCGGCUAACUUCGUG